UGAAGUUGACUACGUGCUUCAGCCAACAUGUGUUUGUUUGUUCUUUCUCUUAACAGAUUGCCAAGAUAAAUUCAAGAUGCAUGGAUGUUGAUUGCAAGGUCAAGAAUGGCUGUUUUACCAGAUAAUUAGAAUGCCGUUUUCAAGUGUAAUGUUUCAAACAAUAUAGUUGAUUGAAUGGUCAAGAAUUUGGCUAGUACUAGAUGGUUUCACAUAUGUAAUAUUUGUAUCGUGUUCUUUGUAAUGCAAUACAUUCUUUUUAAUAUAUUAUGAGGAUUCCUGCU
Long non-coding RNA from Triticum dicoccoides, 281 nucleotides. RefSeq lists it as uncharacterized. The transcript has 2 exons. NCBI's taxonomy places the organism in Eukaryota, Viridiplantae, Streptophyta, Magnoliopsida, Poales, Poaceae. The record is from RefSeq and is a predicted model, not a curated record.